RNAcentral lists this ribosomal RNA (253 nucleotides) under uncultured bacterium. RNAcentral's name for it is "partial 16S ribosomal RNA". It matches the Rfam family "Bacterial small subunit ribosomal RNA", at positions 524 to 776 of the family's 1533-position model. The record is from RNAcentral.
UACGAAGGGAGCUAGCGUUGUUCGGAAUUACUGGGCGUAAAGCGCGCGUAGGUGGCCAUGCAAGUCAGGGGUGAAAUCCCGGGGCUCAACCCCGGAACUGCCUUUGAAACUGCAUGGCUUGAGUCUCGGAGGGGAUGGUGGAAGUCCUAAUGUAGCGGUGAAAUGCGUAGAGAUUAGGAGGAACACCGGUGGCGAAGGCGACCAUCUGGACGAGUACUGACACUGAGGCGCGAAAGCGUGGGUAGCAAACAGG